This 411-nucleotide unclassified non-coding RNA is filed under the name Hevea brasiliensis (rubber tree). Lineage: Eukaryota; Viridiplantae; Streptophyta; Magnoliopsida; Malpighiales; Euphorbiaceae. The record is from RNAcentral.
GAGAAUUGGGUUUUGCAUGUUGAUAUUAAGUAGAUUCUAUGGCUACUUUAGAAGGCCUAAACCCAUAUCAAGUUCAUAGAGAGCCAAAUCGACAUUGUGAUCCUUGCAAGAUGUUAUGAUCCUUGCUAGGCUGAGGCUAUCAAAUCGAAGAAGAGCUAAGAAAAGCAUUAAAGAGCCUACACUAUUCAACACGAUCUCUCCCUUAUUCAUCAUCAAACGAACAAACCGAACUUGGAGCAACAAUGAACCUUGUGAAGGUGAUGAUAGGCUAGGAAGAGAAAAUUAGGAGCUUGCAAAUGAGAAAAUGUGCUUGAUGCUCUCGAUGACUUAGGUACAACAUUGGGGAAAUGGACCAAAACUACUGUAAUUAGGGUUUUGGGACUGUAUUUUAUUAACUCAACUCAACUCAAC